GUCCAACUCUCACAUCCAUACAUGACCACUGGAAAAACCAUAGCUUUGACUAGAUGGACCUUGAUGUACUGUGCAUAUAAGUUUAACCUAUAACCCCCUAUUAUUUCUAGAAAAAAAUGGAGACCAUUAGGAAGACGUGGCUGGAGCAUGGUGAAGCAGAGGAAUCCUUAUAAAAGACUGGAGGGUAAGAGUAAAUCAUGCAGGAUUUGCUGCUCAUGCUAUCAAAGAUUUCCACCUGGAAGGAAACACUGGGGAUGGGAGCAGGCUCUGUGUCAAAACUGGGGUGGCUGCAAAGUUUUGGACAAGACCUCUACAGGCAACUGGAAGCACAGUGUACCCAGGUGGUGGGGCUCGUCUGUGGCAAUAUAUUUUCCAGUCUGUCCAAUUGAAUAUGGCUGUAAGGGGAAUAAAACCCCAUGUAAUCUCCAGCAGUGACAAUUUAAUCAGUUGUGUAAGGGGAAGAAGCAGAGUCCCCUCAUUUUCAUAUUUGCAUAUUUGAUUUUUGCAUUGGGGAAUAGAGGUUAUGUGUUUCUAUUACUUUCCAUUUGAUUUUAAUAUUUAACCCUUUUAGGAGCAAAUUUCUUCCAAUGAUAGGAAAUAUUGAGUCAAGCUGGUAAAAAAUAAGAUUUCUGUUUUCAAAUAAAGCUCUGGAUGCAGCAUGUCCUGUGUAACAUUUUUUCCUACAAAGAAUCUAUGUGCUGAACAUGGCUUGUGUGUUCCCAGCUUCUGCACAUUAUGCAUCCCCUCUUAACAUUCAGAGAUCCACCCUGAAAAUGAAGGCAACUAUUUGGAGAACAAUACAAAAUGAUGAGGUAGUCUUAUACCUAUACCAUAAUAUGUCUCCUUUUUUGCAUUUGCAUUUUUUAAAAUGGUAAGUCUUAAUAACUACUGCUAUUCCUGAGAAAGUAGGGUUUCUAAAAUACCUUAUAUAUACAGGAAUCCCUUCUUAUGAGGUUAUAGAAAGGCAAUAGAUACAGUUAAAUUAGUAAAAUUCCAUUGUUUUAAAACUCUGUUUUACAACUGACAGAAUGAUGCUAUUAUCCAUAAUAUGGUAACAGAUUAGGGAAUAGAUUUUAAAAUAAAUAAGAUGCAGGUAAUUCAAAGUCAUUAUCAAUUACCCUUGUGUGACUCCCUUGAGUAUAUUAAAAAUCCACUCAAAAUGGUUUUGGAUUUGAAUUACUGGAACAUAGAUAGCUGUUUUUUCUUUUUUCUUUUUUCUUUUUUAAUGCAUCAAUUCAUGUAAACCUCCGAUUUUGAAAGCUCCAGAAGUAUGUUGGGUAAUUAAAAAAAAAGAAAAAGAAAAAGCUCGUAUUCUACUUGCUUAAUACUUUACAGUUUCUCUAUAAAAGUGAACUCUGAAGCCAGGCUUUCACUGCAGAGGAAAAAAUAUUGAUUUGAUUCUAUGUAAUUUUGCAAAAAGAGAAAAAAAAAUUUUUAAGUUUGAAAUUGUUCUGUGCAUUAAAUUUAAUCUAUAUAUGUAUUCACACAUGUGUGUAUGUUAGGCCAUAUUAACAUAUGGCCUAAAUAUUGUUAGUUAAAUUCUAUAAGAAAUUACUAAAAUUGGUAUUUGGAAAAGAUAAUCCAUAGCAUUUUAUUAAACAGCAGAGCAGAUCGUCUUUUUGUGUUCAUGAAAAGUGCACCAGUAGUAGUAUACAGGUAUAUAUAAUCAUUAGAUGACAGGUAUAAGAUGUUUUGGGGAUGAGCAGAAUUCACAUUAAAUUCCAGCACAUAAUACGUUAAGUUUUGAAUGUAGUCUUAUUUAUUUAAAUCUGCGUUCUGAUGGUCACACUUUCAAAGUGGUAACAAAUAUCUGUGAUCCAGUCAUUACCUAUUCAAAUUAACCCAGCUUCUUUGAAUAUGAUCUAAUGAUUGAAUGAUCCCCCAAACACUGUAAGUCCUUGGGGAAAUAUACUGAUGUCCCAGCACAUUUUCUCAAGGCUUGGAGAGGACUAGAUCUGCCAAGGAGUUGCCUUGAAGCAUGGACACUCUGCUCUACCUAAACACAAGUCCUAGGCUUUAAUCACAAUGGCUAGGUUCACACUAAAUCAAUUAACCAUAUGAUUGCUUUCACAGGAGCCCAACCUCAUCAGCAUCUUUCCUUCAGGCUAACUGACAAGACCGGGUGUAGUCAAUGUAGUCAAGUGAAUCUGAUUACCUAAGAGGUAUAAACCUCUCAAUAUACAAAUACGGGUAGGACUAUUCACCCUGAAUCUAGUUUUUUAGAGGUUGCCCUUUUAUAAUCAACCCUAUAAAUUUAAAUGAUCAAGGUAAAAUAUUUAUGAAGCAAGAGUUGGCAAGUUUUACAAGGAAGAUUGCGACCAAAUAAUAAUAGUCUGCUGCCUAGAUUGUGGGGUUUUUGUUUCAGUUUGUUUGUUUUGAUCUUUUUAGCAAGAAGUGAGUGAGCUCUCAAAAUCUAAAAUAAUAAGAUUUAAUUUGAGAAUUUGAAAGAAGUAAAAAUACCCAAGAAAUGUAAUUUGUAAUUUAAUAGCAACUUUAGACAAGGAUUGAGAUAUGUGUGUGUGUGUGUGUGUGUGUGUGUACACACACACACAUCUAUAUGUAUAUGCCUGUGUCCUUUUUUAGGCUUGUUAAAUCUUGUUAUUUCACUAAUCAUUGCUGGAUUUGGUGGUAUAUCAAGUGUGAACUUGAAACUUUCUAGCAUCCUUUUCUUGGUAUCCUAUUGGGAAGUUCUUGCCAGCAUGAUAACAGGAUUUUUGGUUACUACCCACUAGAAUUAUUUCUUCAAAAGUGUUUUCCUAGCUUAAAAGCUGAAUAUAAGAUCUGAG
This 2786-nucleotide long non-coding RNA is filed under the name Capra hircus (goat). RNAcentral describes it as "lncRNA (ENSCHIG00000006161.1)". The record is from RNAcentral. Lineage: Eukaryota; Metazoa; Chordata; Mammalia; Artiodactyla; Bovidae.